RNAcentral lists this ribosomal RNA (253 nucleotides) under uncultured bacterium. RNAcentral's name for it is "partial 16S ribosomal RNA". It matches the Rfam family "Bacterial small subunit ribosomal RNA", at positions 524 to 776 of the family's 1533-position model. The record is from RNAcentral.
UACGGAGGGAGCUAGCGUUAUUCGGAAUUACUGGGCGUAAAGCGCACGUAGGCGGCUUUGUAAGUUAGAGGUGAAAGCCUGGAGCUCAACUCCAGAACUGCCUUUAAGACUGCAUCGCUUGAAUCCAGGAGAGGUGAGUGGAAUUCCGAGUGUAGAGGUGAAAUUCGUAGAUAUUCGGAAGAACACCAGUGGCGAAGGCGACUCACUGGCCCGUUACUGACGCUGAUGCGCGAAAGCGUGGGGAGCAAACAGG